Molecule: microRNA precursor, 94 nt
Filed under: Canis lupus familiaris (dog)
Lineage: Eukaryota; Metazoa; Chordata; Mammalia; Carnivora; Canidae
Description: mir-8799 microRNA precursor family
Rfam family: mir-8799 microRNA precursor family
Source: Rfam by way of RNAcentral
GGGGGGAGUGCUGGAUCCUGGCCUGUGUCCCCCUGCCUCCUGGGCUCCCGGGCCUGUGCUGCUGUAAUCGCGGUCCCUUGCCACGCAGCUCCCU